GCUUAGACGUUAACACGACACCCCUCCCACAUCGGUGUUCGCCAGAGAAAUACUAGCGAAAAGCUUAAAACUCAAAGGACUUGGCGGUGCUCCACCCCGACUUAGAGGAGCCUGUCCUAUAAUCGAUAAUCCACGAUAAACCUUACCAUUUUUUGCCACAUCAGCCUAUAUACCGCCGUCACCAACUUACCCCAUGAGGGCCCAAAAGUAAGUACAACAGUUUAACAACUAAAACGUCAGGUCAAGGUGUAGCUAAUAAAAUGGAAGCGAUGGGCUACAUUUUUUAAUAUAAAACAUACGGCAAAGUGCCAUGAAACCGACACUAGAAGGUGGAUUUAAUAGUAAGAUAAGCGAGAAGACUUAUCUUAAACCCGCUCUGGAGCGCGC
RNAcentral lists this ribosomal RNA (387 nucleotides) under Iguana iguana (Common green iguana). Its description in RNAcentral is "partial 12S rRNA". It matches the Rfam family "Bacterial small subunit ribosomal RNA", at positions 800 to 1384 of the family's 1533-position model. The record is from RNAcentral. Lineage: Eukaryota; Metazoa; Chordata; Lepidosauria; Squamata; Iguanidae.